This is a long non-coding RNA of Hyla sarda, 2365 nucleotides long. RefSeq lists it as uncharacterized. The record is from RefSeq and is a predicted model, not a curated record. The transcript is spliced from 3 exons. Lineage: Eukaryota; Metazoa; Chordata; Amphibia; Anura; Hylidae.
CAGCUACUCACCUCCCCUCCCCUCCCCCCCUGAUCUGUAUUCUAAGGACUCAGGUCUGCACAGGAGAAGGACCUCACAGAGAAGAUAAGUGUUAUCUGAAGGGGAGGAUGAGAAGCUCUGGAGGAGGCGUGGCCAGCUAAUUAAGGAUCCUUAAGUACAGCUGCUUUAGUGCAGUUCAAGCUCCAUGCAUAUGAGUGAGGACAGCUGUGCAGCAGACUUUUGGAGGGAAACUGUGACCAUAUUACCAGAUGUCUGCCCCAACCGGGAGGAGCUGCUAUUGGAAAGUUAAGUAUCUAUAUUUAUCACUUAUGCCAUGGCAUUGUUGUAUAACACUCUAUCUUUAUUCUUCAUCCAGAAGGUGUUCAUUAUCUACCUUGUCUGUUUUUUUUCCUUAGUGUUAUUGUGAUAACCAUUAUGGUCAGCCCCAUCUCUAGUACAGGCAGGUUAGAUAGUAGCUACCUAUGCAUGACUUGUUGCAUUGCUAACUUGGGGGAGUUAUCAAUGUGGCACCAUGUGUAGAUAGCCAUCAUAACUAGUUAACCCUCAGUUAUUUCUGUUAUUGUAAUGUUCUACUGAUGCUGAAUAGUAUAGUAGUCAGGGCCUCCUAAAUGAAGGUAGGAAUGCAUUAGGAAAGUCCUAGCUGUAAGUAUGGCUGAUAAAUCAACUGAGGAUUUGCAGCCACUAUCAUUGUUGUUUUUAACAUACUGCUUUUUUAUCUUUUGUGUGUGUUCGGCUCUUCAUUGUUUUUCAAGUUGCUUCAUUUUCUAACGGCUUUUGUCUUUCUCACAAGUAUCUAGGUAGGUUUUUUUUUUUAGAAUUCUUUUCCUAUAGAGCAAGAAUAUUUGACGCGGUCUGCUAGCCCUGGACACUAAUACCCAAGAAAGAGUGAGACAACCAUCUGCCCAGACUGGAAGGAGCUACGAUGAGACGGUAAGGCCUAUGCGAGUGACUUGAUCUAAUAGUGUCUGUCUUCGUGCUUCUUCCAGAAGCUGUUCUAUUGUGUAAGACAACCCUCACCUGGGAGGAGCUGCUGUCAGACCAAUAAGUUACUAACUUUGACCUGACUUUGACCUAUGUCAUAUUCUUGUUCUAGAAGUAUCUAUCAGUUUGCGUUCUCCAGGUGUUCCUUAUCUUCCCUGGCUGGAAUUGUGGACCUACGCGUAAGUAAAUAGAAUCAUGUCUGUUCUUGUCAAAUGUGUUAUAUUUAGGGGGUAAUUUGUUUAAUGACUUUCUGUCUCUUGCCUUUGCCAGUCGCCGCCUACCGUGGCAGUCUUUGCCAAAUUUGGCAAUUUACCAUAUAAUUCUAUGGUGAAUGUCAGCCCCAUUCCUUGUACCAGCAGGUUUGGUAGCUACCUAUGCAUGACUUGUUGCAUUUCUAACUUGGGGGAGUUAUCAAUGUGGCACCAUGUGUAGAUAGCCAUAAUAACUAGUCAACCCUAAAGAAUCAGUUAGUGAAACUGUAGAUUAGUCACCUAUUGUAAUAAAUCUUUGCAAAAUGGCAAUUUACCAUAUAAUUCUAUGGUGAAUGUCAGCCCCAUUCCUAGUACCAGCAGGUUAGAUAGUAGCUACCUAUGCAUGACUUGUUGCAUUGCUAACUUGGGGGAGUUAUCAAUGUGGCACCAUGUGUAGAUAGCCAUAAUAACUAGUUAACCCUCAGUUAUUUCUUUUAUUUUCAUAUACUACUCGGCAUCAGUAGAAUAGUCAGUGCCUACUAAAUGAAGGUAGGAAUGCAUUAGGAAAGUCCUAGCUGUAAGUAUGGCUGAUAAAUCGACUGAGGGUUUGCAGCCACUAUAUUGUUGUUUUUUAUCUUUUGUUUGUUAGGCUCUUCAUUGUUGCUUCAUUUUCUAACAGCUUUUGUCUUUUUCUCACAAGUAUCUAGGUAGUGUUAGUUUUUUUUAGAAUUCUUUUCCUGUAGAGCAAAAAUAUUUGAUGCUGCCUGCUAGCCCUGGACACUAAUACCCAAGAAAGAGUGAGACUACAAUCUUCCCAGAAUGGAAGGAGCUGUGUUAAAACGGUAAGGUCUUUCCUAUAUGGUUUAUGCCAUAGGCUUGUUCUAAUAGCCUGUGUCUUUGUACUUAAUUUAUUCACUCAUUUAUCUAAAUCCAUUUUGCACCGUGCUAUAUAGCCUUAAAGGAGCCCUGUAGUGUUAGACCCUUAUCCCCUAUCCACAGGAUAGGGCAUAAGUGUCUGUGGGGGGCUCCGACCACUGGGACCCCCAUGUGAUGUCCUGUACGGGGACCUGGCAUUGCUGCGGCUCUGCGUGGCUCAUGCACGUGUUGUCGACCUCACUGAGGUAGACACGCCCCCUCCAUACUGCAUCUCCGCCUCUCACAUAGAGAUACAUGGAGGGGGCGUGUAAGCUGUG